GUUACAGAACUUCAAUCUCCUUUGAAUAAAAAAAGAUGGGAUCUAUGUGGAGCAAUGGUGACGAUCUUGUAAAGGAAAGGGAAAGAACGGCUGAACGGGAAAGAGAAAUUCGAAGAUUAGAAGAACUAAGAAUGCAACAAAGGAAUGAAGAUCGUCGAAAACAGAUUGAGCUAGAAGAAAAACUAAAAGAGCUGAAGCUUCAACAGCAGAAGAAGGAAG
Long non-coding RNA from Saccostrea echinata, 219 nucleotides. RefSeq lists it as uncharacterized. Lineage: Eukaryota; Metazoa; Mollusca; Bivalvia; Ostreida; Ostreidae. The transcript is spliced from 7 exons. The record is from RefSeq and is a predicted model, not a curated record.